Molecule: long non-coding RNA, 379 nt
Organism: Drosophila sulfurigaster albostrigata
Lineage: Eukaryota; Metazoa; Arthropoda; Insecta; Diptera; Drosophilidae
Exons: 2
Source: RefSeq, a predicted model, not a curated record
UGUUAAAGUACAUGUAUUCGAAGUAUUUGGAAAUUUGAAAAUCUUUUUUCUUGCGCAACCAUUGAAGCAAGCGUUCUACUUUGCAGAAAGGUGAUGCUGCGAAAACGAUUGCGUUCCUUUGAAACCGGCAGCACUGAGUCCUGUCGAUGAUGUUCGUUGGGAUUGCUGUGUAGAUGGUAAAAAGAAGAAUGUGGAAAGAGAACAGAGAUGUAUUUGUCAGACAGAGAUGGGAAAAGAUACAUAAAUUGCAAGAUACAGUUGAGUGAAAAUGUGCUCCAAAGAAUUUCUUGUUUGCCCUGGCGUUCUUGUUGUCCGUGUACAUUUUUGUUGUUUUCUUUCUAAGAGCUGCGUGCACAAAUAGAAAAUGCUUAAAAUGCAA